RNAcentral lists this ribosomal RNA (578 nucleotides) under uncultured bacterium. Its description in RNAcentral is "bacterial SSU rRNA". It matches the Rfam family "Bacterial small subunit ribosomal RNA", at positions 102 to 676 of the family's 1533-position model. The record is from RNAcentral.
ACGGGUGAGUAAUACAUCGGAACGUGCCCUGUAGUGGGGGAUAACUAGUCGAAAGAUUAGCUAAUACCGCAUACGACCUGAGGGUGAAAGUGGGGGACCGCAAGGCCUCAUGCUAUAGGAGCGGCCGAUGUCUGAUUAGCUAGUUGGUGGGGUAAAGGCCCACCAAGGCGACGAUCAGUAGCUGGUCUGAGAGGACGAUCAGCCACACUGGGACUGAGACACGGCCCAGACUCCUACGGGAGGCAGCAGUGGGGAAUUUUGGACAAUGGGCGAAAGCCUGAUCCAGCAAUGCCGCGUGUGUGAAGAAGGCCUUCGGGUUGUAAAGCACUUUUGUCCGGAAAGAAAUGGCUCUGGUUAAUACCUGGGGUCGAUGACGGUACCGGAAGAAUAAGGACCGGCUAACUACGUGCCAGCAGCCGCGGUAAUACGUAGGGUCCAAGCGUUAAUCGGAAUUACUGGGCGUAAAGCGUGCGCAGGCGGUCGUGCAAGACCGAUGUGAAAUCCCCGAGCUUAACUUGGGAAUUGCAUUGGUGACUGCACGGCUAGAGUGUGUCAGAGGGGGGUAGAAUUCCACGUGU